AUUCCAAUCGAACUCGGAGAUAGCUGGUUCUCCCCGAAAUAGCUUUAGGGCUAGCGUUAUGUUAGAUUACCGGAGGUAAAGCACUGAAUGGGCUAGGGGCUGAUAAAGUUACUGAACCCUAUCAAACUCUGAAUGCCGGAUAAUUGAUGAUCAGCAGUCAGUCUACGUGAGAUAAGUCUCGUGGACAAAAGGGAAACAGCCCAGACCCACAGCUAAGGUCCCAAAGAUACGCUAAGUGGAAAACGAUGUGGAGUUGCGAAAACAACCAGGAUGUUGGCUUAGAAGCAGCCACUCAUUAAAAGAGUGCGUAAUAGCUCACUGGUCGAGUGACUCUGCGCGGAAAAUAUAACGGGGCUAAGCAUGAAACCGAAGCUUGGGCUUGUCGUAAGACAGGGGUAGGGGAGCGUCGAGUAUGGGGUGAAGUCAGAGCGGAAGCACUGGUGGACUGUACUCGAGUGAGAAUGCCGGAAUGAGUAGCGAGAAUUAUGUGGGAAUCAUAAUGGCCGAAAAUCUAAGGUUUCUUGGGGAAGGUUCGUCCGCCCAAGGUAAGUCGGGAGCUAAGCUCAGGCCGAGAGGCGUAGGCGAUGCACAUACGGUAGAAAUUCCGUAACCACCGAAACUUAAACAGAGGGACACUUCGAAAUAGCGGAACCCGGGCGUUGGUUGACCCGGGCGUAAGGGAGCGAAAUUAGAGUAGCGAAGUCCGCGAUGUUCGGAGGCGAGAAAAGCUCUGAGGUAUGCUAAGGUGCCCGUACCGCAAACCGACACAGGUAGAUGAGGAGAGAAUCCUAAGGCCAACGGGAGAAGGGUUGUUAAGGAACUCGGCAAAUUGACCCCGUAACUUCGGGAGAAGGGGUGCUCCAGAGAUGGAGCCGCAGAGAAUCGGCCCAAGCAACUGUUUACCAAAAACACAGGUCUAUGCUAAAUCGAAAGAUGACGUAUAUGGGCUGACGCCUGCCCGGUGCCGGAAGGUUAAGAGGAGAUGUCAGGAAACGAAGCAUUGAAUUUAAGCCCCAGUAAACGGCGGCCGUAACUAUAACGGUCCUAAGGUAGCGAAAUUCCUUGUCAGGUAAG
Molecule: ribosomal RNA, 1074 nt
Filed under: human gut metagenome
Description: bacterial LSU rRNA
Rfam family: Bacterial large subunit ribosomal RNA
Source: RNAcentral